This 6015-nucleotide long non-coding RNA is filed under the name Sus scrofa (pig). RNAcentral describes it as "lncRNA (ENSSSCG00065051119.1)". The record is from RNAcentral. Lineage: Eukaryota; Metazoa; Chordata; Mammalia; Artiodactyla; Suidae.
GAAGAUGUGAGAGGCAGAAAAGAGCACAGCUGGGUCCCUCAUCCUAGGUGGAGUUUGCAGGACUGGCAGAUAGAGGCAGUUUUUGACUGUUAACUGAGGGCAGUUUAAUUCGGAGGCAAUUGUGGGGAGAUGAAAUUUGAACCCCACUGAUGUUGGUUUCUGUGAAAAACUGCCCUUUCAGGAAGACACCUCAGGCUUCAAGACUUCCUCAGUUAAGUGUGAUCUAAAAGGCCCAGGGAAAAAGUUUUAGGAAGUUCAGCUAUUGACGUAAGGCAGAUAACUUGUGAAGUUUGGACAACUCAUCCACUUGUGAAUUUGCAUAUCUCCUACUCUCUUGGAAAUUCCACAUCCAAAAGGCAUUAGAGCUCAGCCUGAGAAAACGGCAGCUUAACAUGGUGGAAGCAAGGUGAUUUCUUGUUAUGUGUAAUUGUGUAGGCAGAGGAGGCCAGCUAAAGGCUUUCUAGGAUGGGGUCUUUGUUGAAUCUUUGACUAAUUGUGUGGUCACAUGUUCGUAUGUUUCUAUUUCCUAAAAUAAAUGUUUACUGCUAAAGAGUUCCCUUUUACAGUAUAAGAGCACUUUCCCAGGAAGUGCUUGCCUAGCAGUCCUUUCCUUUCCACAUGGGUCCUUGCUCAAGAUGGCAAUUUACCAAAAGAGUGUAAUUAUGCAAUUGAAAAGUCUUUAAAUUGGAUUGUCAAGGAAAUGCGUGAAACAUCUCAAAAUAGUCCAGGUGUGAGUAUAAGGUAAUGAGGUGGAUGUUUACAUUUUUAUAAAGCUCUACAAAACAAAAGCAAUGAUUCUAAAUUCUGACUUCCCUCUUCCCCAGAUUAGCAUAGGGUAAUCAAAACAGAGUCCUGGACACCCUUUCCUAGAGCUUUGCUCUUUCUAUUUUGUGUUGCAUGCUUUCAUCAAGAAUCUCUGUUACUUCUUAUUUAUUUAUUUCUCAACUCUAAGGAGGAAUGAUCUCUCCUGUCUGGGGCUUGUUGAUGGAGACGAUGGAAGUUUUCUUUAAUAAAUAACUGCCAGACCCUUUAACCCACUGCACUGGGCUGGGGAUUGAACCCACACCUCUGCAGCAACCCAAACUGCUACAGCCGGAUUCUUAACGCAAUGCACCAACUGCAGGAACUCUUCCCCCAUUCUUCUAGCUGCAGUUCUUUCUUCCAUUCCAUUGCUGCUUUCUGUAAAAGGAGCCAGAAUUGGCCUAAAAAUCAUCUAUAAGUUUCUCACCAAAGUCACAAUAUGAUAGAAAUUAACAUGGGCAUUUGGCAACACAGACAUUUCUGACAUGUGGGUUAUACAGCCUGAUAUGCACAAAUUUCAGAUGGCUAUUAUUUAUUUCUCUUCAAACUUGUAGCUUUAUGACUCCACAAACAUUCCAGCAGUGAUAGCAUUGCUUAAAAUGCCCACACAUCUCUUCUGGAAUUAUCCCCAACACUAGCUGGCAAAUCAUAUAACACACAGUUUCAUCUUUUUUUAAAAAAAAUCAAAAGUAGUAUUGCAUAGCAAGGUCACUUCUACUCACCUUUAUCUAUCAAAAUGGAUUCCAAACAACUUCUCUUUCUCAAAAUCAAAUCCAUAAAGUGGCUGAAUAUUUAUCAGCCACUAUUAAUGGAAUUCUAAAGAAAAUGCCAUAGGCUAGGAAAACAAUUCCUAAAAUGAAGCUCCAUGAAUUUUUAAAAUGGCAGUAGUAUCUGACUAGUAUAGAAACUGCAAGGAGACUUCUUUGGAACAAAUAAUUCUUGUUUAGAUGUGUGAGUUCUUAUAAGUUGGUUAAAAAGAGAGUCUCAUUUGGUCUUGGAAGUGUGAUAAGUUGGUUUAAAAAGACUGUCUCAUUUGAUUUGGGAUAUGAGAUAAAUGGGUCCCAGCCUUGCCAGUAAACAUGGGCUAAGUGCUUAGCAUCUCUAGUUUUCUGAACCUUCACAUUUAAAAUGAAGGAUUUAGAUUAGAAAAUCUCCAAGGACUCUUCUAGCUUCAAUAUAGUACAACCUAUCCAUCAAACAUUUAUUGGGCAACUACUGUGUUGGAUACUUUUCUGGAAAAAAGUGAUAUAAAAUCCUUGUCUGAAAAGCUGUCAAAAUCUAGCUAGUACUGUUGGUGACAUACAAUUUUUAUAUCAUCAGUAUCAUCAUAAUAUGCUCUUUUAUAUAUUAUAUAACAUAAUAUUUGUUGCUGUGUAAACUGGCUCCCUGUUCACCAAAUAUUUUUAUUUUCUUCCAGGCAACUCUUCUCAGACUUUCUUGUAAUUAAUUAGGUGUGGCCAAGUGACUAGAGUCUGGCUAAUCAGAUAUGAGCAGAAGUGACAUAUGCUACUUCUAGGCCUGGUCCAUGAAACCCUCCUAUGUAUGACCUUCUCCGUCUUUCUCCAUCUAGCAUCUGAAAAGAGAGAGUACCAGAGAGCCAGAGAAGUAUGGAACCUCAAAAUGGAAAGAACUUGGGUCCCUGAAUGACUGUGUGAAAUAUAGCCCCCACCCCCAAUACUUCCUGCGCAUCUGCACAGAACUGUGAUAUGAGGGUGAAAUAGCACUUACUGUGUUAAUUCACCCCAGUUUUGGGAUACCUUGCCAAAUAUAUUUACUUUAUAAAGGAAGAGGCCCCAAGUCCUUAGGAGAUAGUGGUGAAGGUGGAUAGACAUUGUAAUAGUACUUCAAGUGGGCAAAGAGCUAGAUGGAGUAUGUGUGCAAAAGGAAAAGGCAGCAUAGAAAAGAGGGGUAAACAGAAGAGUAAGGAACAGACAAUAGUAUAAUUAUUAGAGUACUUGAUUGCCUAACUCCAAGAUGUCUGUCUAAAAAAAAUUACUUGAAAAAAAAGGGCUAUCCAUCACUUUUAGAAGAAAUAGGGAGAUAAAGGUCAAAUAAUCUUAUGUUGUCAUCUCUCCAACACUUGCAGGACAGUAGAAAUUCUUUUGGAAACCAUUCAGUCAAGAGUGAAACCUUGGUAAAAAUUUCAUCUGAAGUGAUGUCUCUAAGUCAUGAUUGCCUCUUGUCUCAAAAUUUAGAAUCUGAUAUGUAGCUAUCUAGAGGUAUAAAAAGACAUUAUUUAAGGAGUUUGGACCAUGUUAACAAUGAUAAAGAUAAAAUCUAAAUGGAUGCUCAAAUUCAUCUAAAAGCCAAUGCGUUUGGGCUACUUUGGCUCAGUGGUAUGGAAGAUGGAACCAUAUUCUAAUUGGUAUUAUAUUGUGGUAGGUAGAAUAAUGGCUUCCCCAGAAUGUCCAUAUACUAAUUCCCAAAACCUGUGAAUGUCCUUAGAUGACAAAAGGAAUUUUGCAGAUGUUAUUAAAUUAAGAAUUUUGAGAUGAACAGAUUAUCCAGAUUAUCUGGGUGGGUCAUUUCCAUGUAAUCACAAGGGUCCUUAUAAAAAGGGAAAAGUAUCAAAAUCAGAGAAGGAGAUCAACAACAGAAGCAUAAGCCAGAGUGAUGUGGGACUUCAUGCCAAGAAAUGCAGGAAGCCUCUAGAAAUAUAAGAGGCAAGGAAAGGGAUUUUUUGCUAAAGGCUUUAGAAGGAACACAGCCCUGUGAACCCAUUUUGGACUUUUAAUUUUCAGAACUAUAAUAAAUUUAUGUUGUUUUAAUCUACUGAAUUAAUGGUAAUUUGUUAUAGCAGCAAAAAAUAACUAACAUGUAAAUAUAAUACACUGGCAUUUGCAUUCUUUUCUAUCCUAUCCAUAACAUACAUAGACCCUGAUAUGUGAGUCACUCUGCUAUAUGGGUACUAUAAAAAAAAAAGGAAUAUUAAAAAAAAAACACACCUUCCUAUAGGUUUUAUGUCUUUGGAAAAAUUAAUUUAUUGAACACUUAGUAUGUUUAUAUGGCAUUUAUACUAUAUGCCUUGUAGUAUAUAUACAUUUAUAUUAUAAUGUAUAUAUUUGCUAUACCUACACCUUAUGGAUAUUUAUCCUAAGGGAUUUACAAACAAUACUUCAUUUAGUUUUCUCAUAAUAACUUAAAGAUAUAGGUACUUUUAUCUCCAUUUUACAGAUAAGAAAACUGAACUUAAGUAAUUUGCCCAAAGUUAUUUUUCUAGGAGGAAACAGAGCUGGAUUUGAGGUCAGCUCUGGCUACUCCAGAAUGAAUGGUAUUUUCUACUAUGAUGUUUAGAAUUCACUGACUUGAAUUAAACCUUUAAAACUCUGAUUUUUAUAACUUAUUUUCAUCCUGCAUAAAUAUUUUAUCAAAAUUGUCUUCUUGUUGCUAUAUGCUUAGUGAAUCACCUAAAUUAAUUUUUAAAACUUAGAUGAUAAUGUUUAACUUCCAGUAAUGGCAAACCAGCUGGUGGUAGAGAAAACAUGAAUAAAACUCAAUAAAACUUGGUAUUUGAAGCAUUGGAGAGCUACUAAAGUAGCUGGGAUAGGAGAGCUACAAUCCUGGAGAGAAAGGAGGGUCUUUGAGGUAAGCCUUACAGUCUGUGCUGUUUUCCAAAUGAGAUAUUUACCAAUUUACAAGUGGUCUGGCAAGAUAGACUGGAAGUAAGAGAAAAGAUCCCUCUAAGUAGGAGAGAAGCUGAGCAAUUUUCAGCAGUGUUAUGGUGCUGGGGAGAUAAUAAUUGGUGUUCAGGACUACUGACUAAGCUUAGACUGGAAGAUGCUGCUGCAAAGGAAAGUGCUAAAAAAUGAGCCUAACCAUCUCAGUUGCUUCUCCUUGAUAGAUUUGUGAAGUAGUAAGUAGCACUGGCCCAAAAGAAGCAAAUCAGGAACAGCAGCCACAAAGAGUUCAUAUAAAACUCCAAAGGACUAAGAAUUGUCAAGACAUUCAUGAAGAAGAAUAAAACUCAAGAUCUUAUACUACGAGUAACUAAGAAUGGUAUUGGCAAAGUCUUCUAAACAUAUGACCAAUGGAACAUAAGAGCUUGUUGACUCUGGAGGAACUGCCCUUCCAAAGGGUAGCUAAUUCCCAGAAAUAGUAAACAAUUCGCCUUUGAGGACACCUUUCGUACUCAAACCAGCCAACGCAGAGUCUGCACCCCUAGCCACACCCCUAUCCACAUUAUCAAUGUCAUACCUAUGUCCUAAUCAUCCCAGGGCCUGGAGACAACUGCCAAAACCACCAUAAAGCCUCUUGCUCAUGUUCUCCCCAGUCCCUUCUGCCUCCUGAGGAACCCCGGUGUCUACCCAAGUGGCCUUCCUGUAUGGUGUGCCAUACCUAUUGUUUCUAGGGAGCUGUAAGUAUAGAAACUUCUUUUUUCAUAAAUGUCUUUUUUUUGUUUAUGUAUCUUAUUAAACCAAAUCCCAGAUACUUUUAAAACAAUGCUUAACCUCAUUAGGAUGCAAAUAAAAAUCAUAACAAGAUUCUCCAACUUAUCUUCCAGAAUGGCUAGAGUGAAAAGGUUUGAAAAUGCCGAGUAUUUAUAAGAAUAUGGGACAGUGAGAACUUUUACAUCCCACAGAUACUUCUGGUGGGUGUGCAAAUUGGUAUAACUAUUUUGGAAAACAGUUUGGCACCAUCUACUAAAAUUGAAGAUAUAUGUACUCUUUGAUCUACUAUUUCUGCUCCUAGAAGUAUACUCAGCAGAAAAGUAUAACAUUCGCACCAAAAUACAUGAAUAAAAAUGAUCAUGGCAAUGGUAUUUGCAAUAACCAAAAAUUAGAAACAACUCCAAAGUUUAUCAAGUGUAGAAUGUGUAAGUAUAUCAUGGUAUAUUCACAGUGGAAUGCUACAAGGCAGUGAAUAUGAGUGAACUACAACCAUGCACAAUGAAUCUCACAGUGUUGAGCAAAAGAUGCUGGAUACAAGAGUAUCUAAUGUUGGAGUUCCUGUUGUGGCGAAGUGGUUAACGAAUCCGACUAGGAACCAUGAGAUUGCAGAUUCGAUCCCUGGCCUUGCUCAGUGGGUUAAGGAUCUGGUGUUGGUUGCUGUGAACUGUGGUGUAGGUCGCAGAUGUGGCUCGGAUCCUGCGUUGCUGUGGCUGUGGCAUAGGCUGGUGGCUACAGCUCCGAUUCAACCCCUAGCAUGGGAACUCCAUAUGCCAUGGGAGUGGCCCAAGAAAUGGCAAAAAGACAAAAAACAGAAAAGAAAAAAAAA